This 401-nucleotide ribosomal RNA is filed under the name uncultured bacterium. RNAcentral describes it as "partial 16S ribosomal RNA". It matches the Rfam family "Archaeal small subunit ribosomal RNA", at positions 473 to 873 of the family's 1478-position model. The record is from RNAcentral.
AUACCGGCUGCUCGAGUGAUGGCCACUAUUACUGGGUUUAAAGCGUCCGUAGCUUGACUGUUAGGUCUCUUGGGAAAUCUUUUGGCUUAACCAAAAGGCGUCUAAGAGAUACCGGCAUUCUUGGAACUGGGAGAGGUAAGCCGUACUUCGGGGGUAGGAGUGAAAUCUUGUAAUCCUCGAGGGACGACCUAUGGCGAAGGCAGCUUACCAGAACAGCUUCGACAGUGAGGGACGAAAGCGGGGGGAGCAAACGGGAUUAGAUACCCCGGUAGUCCCAGCCGUAAACAAUGUGCGUUAGGUGUGUCGGUUACCACGCGUAACUGAUGCGCCGAAGAGAAAUCGUGAAACGCACCACCUGGGAAGUACGGUCGCAAGGCUGAAACUCAAAUGAAUUGGCGGGG